GGCACGCCCGAAGUCGUUACUCUAACCCGAAAGGGAGGAGGGUGCCGAAGGCGGGGUUGAUGACUGGGGUGAAGUCGUAACAAGGUAGCCGUACCGGAAGGUGUGGCUGGAUCACCUCCUUUUAGGGAGACCUACUUUUGAUGAGAGUGCCAAAUCCAAAACAACAGCACCCUCAAAAGUCAUCCCAGGUCGUGCUAGGAAAGAAAGAAACUUUCAAACGUAUCUAAAGUUCGGGAAA
This 238-nucleotide unclassified non-coding RNA is filed under the name uncultured cyanobacterium. RNAcentral's name for it is "partial contains 16S ribosomal RNA and 16S-23S ribosomal RNA intergenic spacer". The stretch from base 1 to 122 matches the Rfam family "Bacterial small subunit ribosomal RNA", at positions 1414 to 1533 of the family's 1533-position model. The record is from RNAcentral. Lineage: Bacteria; Bacillati; Cyanobacteriota.